Molecule: ribosomal RNA, 253 nt
Filed under: uncultured bacterium
Lineage: Bacteria
Description: partial 16S ribosomal RNA
Rfam family: Bacterial small subunit ribosomal RNA
Source: RNAcentral
UACGUAGGGGGCAAGCGUUGUCCGGAAUUAUUGGGCGUAAAGAGCGUGUAGGCGGUCCGGUAAGUCCGCUGUGAAAGUCCAGGGCUCAACCCUGGAAUGCCGGUGGAUACUGCCGGGCUAGAGUCCGGAAGAGGCGAGUGGAAUUCCUGGUGUAGCGGUGAAAUGCGCAGAUAUCAGGAGGAACACCGAUGGCGAAGGCAGUUCUCUGGGCCGUAACUGACGCUGAGGAGCGAAAGCGUGGGGAGCGAACAGG